GAUUUGGAGAGGACGUGUGUUCUUCUCAAUUCAAUUGCUUUGUUUUUCCAAAUUCUGGUUUGCAAGUUGAUUUAUGUUGCAAGUAAUCUCUUAGAAAGAAUUCAGGUAUCUUUCUGCUACUUAAUAAUGAUAUUAAAUUUAGGAGGAUGUUUGUGAGAACUUCUCACAGAAGGCUGUGAAUCAUUUAUCUGGAAAUGCAGAUAGAGGCAUAAAGAAAAUUCUAAGUGGAGCAGUGAAAGGUUUUCGUCGAAAAUGUCCUGAUUUGAAGGGAAUCCAUAACGUGGGAAAGUCUGCUUCUAACUAAGCAGUUGGAAUGAAGAAAAUACCAGAACUACAAUCAGGCCUGUGUUUGUGAAUAAACCAACCAUAAAGCCACCAGAGAAAGUUCCAGUUCACCUGUUUAAUAUUAUUUCAUCAAGUAAAUCAAAUAUGUUCCUUUCAGCAAAUCCUGUAUUUGUAAAGGUCUCUUAAGAAAUCAUUUAGGAAAAGUGACAAGGCUCAGGAAAUUAUAUCUUGAUACAGAGCACAUGCUCUCAAACAUCUCUCAAAGAAGUCCAAAGCAAAGGAAGAGCUGACAUAGAAAGACAAACGUUGGAGAAAAGUGUCAUUAC
This is a long non-coding RNA of Erinaceus europaeus (western European hedgehog), 611 nucleotides long. RefSeq lists it as uncharacterized. Lineage: Eukaryota; Metazoa; Chordata; Mammalia; Eulipotyphla; Erinaceidae. The record is from RefSeq and is a predicted model, not a curated record. The transcript has 7 exons.